RNA transcript from Triticum dicoccoides, 1556 nucleotides. It is a transcript of the gene named protein FAR1-RELATED SEQUENCE 8-like, with no coding region annotated. NCBI's taxonomy places the organism in Eukaryota, Viridiplantae, Streptophyta, Magnoliopsida, Poales, Poaceae. The record is from RefSeq and is a predicted model, not a curated record. The transcript is spliced from 5 exons.
CAGACCCAUACGCCUCCUGCUGCUCCUUUCUCCAGUUCGUCUUCCUCCUCUGGAUCGAGACCUUGGAGCCUGCUCCAUGGACCUGUCCAUGGAAACGGAGGGCGAUUCCGAACAGAGAGUCCCAGGCUUCUAUCAGCGUCGCCGAGGCUGACAUUCGCCGUGCAGGGGACCUCCGUAGCGGUGGCGGAGAUGCCGGAUUUCUUGGCGAGGACCCGCUCUUGCAAGUUUGUUCGGAGGCUACGAGCGGAUGGACACGCAGGGUAAGGAUCAGAAAGGCCCCCGCUGAGCGCGAGCUCAACCCUAACCGGAAAAGUGCCCUUGAAUUGUCCAUGAGGGCUUUCAUAUUGAAAAGAGAUGGCAAUGUUGUCAACCCAGCUGUCGGGACCUCUUUUGAUUCAUUGGAUGAAGCCUAUCAGUUCUACAAUUUGUAUUCGUGGGAGCUUGGAUUUGGUAUAAGGUAUUCGAAAAGCAGGCUAAAUGUGGAGCGGGUGAAGUGCAUGCAUGAGAUAGUCUGUGGAUGUGCGGGUAAACCGGAGAGGGAGAAUACAAGAUCAACACGGUGCGGUUGUGCUGCCCGGAUCAGGCUGCUUCGGUCGGACGACAAUGGAUGGUAUAUUUCAUAGCACCGGGCGGCACACAACCACUCUUUGUCAAGCACUUGUGGUGAGAAAAUGCAUUGGCCGUCGCACAGGCUCAUUGACCGGUAUACUAAGGAUCUUGUUAGGCAGCUUAGAGAGAACAAUGUCAGUCUUGGAAAGGUUUUUAGCAUAGUUGGUAGUUUUUUUGGAUCAGUUGAUAAUGUGCCAUUUACAAAACGGUCACUAAAGACGCUGUGUUGCAAGUUGAACAAGGAGCAGUCUGAUUCAGAUGCCCGGAAAACAAUGGACAUACUUGCGGAGAUGAAAGCAAACGAUCCAGAAUUCAACUAUACUGUCCAGGUUGAUGACGAGAGCAGGAUUAAGACACUUAUGUGGGUUAACGGGCGUAGUGUGGACCAGUAUAGGUGUUUCGGAGAUGUUGUAACAUUUGAUACCACAUACAGGACAAACCUAUAUGACAUGCCAUUCGGUCUGUUUGUAGGAGUGAACAAUCACUUCCAGAGCAUAAUUUUCGGAGGUGUCAUGCUGAGGGAUGAGAAGGAGGACACAUUCAAGUGGGUUUUCUGUGAAUUCAUCAGGAUGGUCGGGGGUAAACACCCGCAAACAAUAUUAACAGGCGCGGUCAAUGGAAUUGGCUAUAGAAACAGAGAUGCCCAAUACAACGCAUAGGUGGUGUAAAUGGCAUGUGCUGAAGAAAGCAAAGGAGUCAAUGGGGGUUUUGUGGAGCAAGAAAACUGAUUUCACAAGUGAAUUUCAUAAGCUAGUUCAUCACAUGGUCACGGAGCAAGAGUUCGAGGAUGGAUGGUCUGCAAUGCUCAUUGUAUCUUGAUUAAUAACUCUUGCUGAUCCCUCCGCAGCAAAAUGAUUAUCCAUUCCGACAAACACCAUGAACUACAGAACCUAAUGGCAGGCAAACUAGUGAGAUUUAGGAAGAACUGCUAAAUUGCUACUGAAAAG